RNAcentral lists this ribosomal RNA (502 nucleotides) under uncultured bacterium. RNAcentral describes it as "bacterial SSU rRNA". It matches the Rfam family "Bacterial small subunit ribosomal RNA", at positions 28 to 527 of the family's 1533-position model. The record is from RNAcentral.
GAUGAACGCUAGCGGUAGGCUUAACACAUGCAAGUCGAGGGGUAACAGGGUAGCAAUACUGCUGACGACCGGCGCACGGGUGAGUAACGCGUAUGCAAUCUGCCUUUAACUGGAGAACAGCUUCGAGAAAUCGGAAUUAAUACUCCAUAACAUUAACGAAUCGCAUGGUUUGUUAAUUAAAGCUCCGGCGGUUAAAGAUGAGCAUGCGUGACAUUAGUUUGUUGGUGAGGUAACGGCUCACCAAGACUACGAUGUCUAGGGGGUCUGAGAGGAUGGUCCCCCACACUGGUACUGAGACACGGACCAGACUCCUACGGGAGGCAGCAGUGAGGAAUAUUGGUCAAUGGGCGCAAGCCUGAACCAGCCAUACCGCGUGAAGGAUGAAGGCUCUAGUAGUUGUAAACUUCUUUUAUAUGGGAAGAAACCUACUCUCGUGAGAGUAGUUGACGGUACCAUAAGAAUAAGCACCGGCUAACUCCGUGCCAGCAGCCGCGGUAAAGUA